Monodelphis domestica (gray short-tailed opossum) is the source of this 1018-nucleotide long non-coding RNA. The record is from Ensembl. NCBI's taxonomy places the organism in Eukaryota, Metazoa, Chordata, Mammalia, Didelphimorphia, Didelphidae.
GGGACCUGGGGAGCAGGGCGGAGGGGCCCGGCCAGCCUGGGGGCGCACGUACGUCCCCGUGCUUUGCAACAGAUGCAGAGCUGCGGCUGCGGCCCCGCACCCCCACCUCGCGCCUCCGCCCCUCUGCCUCUCCGCCGUGCGCGCGAGUUCCCCUGGCGCGCGCGGCAGGAUAAUGGCCUUCCUGCUUUCCAAGAAGGUGGGGAGCGGACCGGGGAGGGGGUACCUGGGAGGAGGGGAGGGGGCGGGGCGGGCUGGGAAUCCGCGAGCCGGAAUCCACCCGGGGCUGGGGGAGCCCGCGCGUCACGUGCCGGGCCCCGGCUCGGGUUCUCGCAUGUUAAUGAUGCGGGAGUUCCAAUCAGAGAGCGCUGGGGGGGCUGGUGGGGGUGGGCCGGGGGAGGCUCCUCUUGGGCAGGAACCACCCUCCUCCGCAGCGGAGGGUGGUCCGCUGUCACCUGACCGCCAGCCGCGCGCCGGCCUCCCGGACCCCCCCCCCCGGCCCACGCCCCCCCCGCGAGUCCGGGGGGCGAUGGUACUGCCUGCUCGGUUACAAAGUCCCCCGCCCGCGCGGGGCCGGCUCUGUGCAGCUGGAUCCCUGACCGCGGCCAGGCUGCUGUCGCUGCUGCCGCUGCUGCUGCUACCGCUACCGCCGCUGCUAGGGAUGCUGAUGCUGCCGCUGCCGGAGAUAGAUGCUGAGGAUGCUCCCGCGGCCUCCCCGCCGCCCCCCUCUCCCUUUUCCACUCUUCCCUGGACGGCUUUUCCAUUCUCCUGGUGCCUCCUGCGCGGGCACCAGCCAACCAGCCAGCCAAGGACAGGGCUCCUUCGCGGCUUCUGCGGCUGCCCCACGCCGCCCACCGCCGCCGCUGAGAGGCUCCCCUCAGCCGGCGCGCCUCACCUCGAUGCCCGUCCUUCAGGUGUGGCCCUGAGCGUGGCGAUGGCACCAGUGGAUGGCUCUCUGACGCAGUGCGAUAAGUCUGAUGACAUCUUGAGAGGCAGAAACGACUUCAUCCGAACCAGAUGA